Long non-coding RNA from Oreochromis aureus, 1153 nucleotides. The record is from Ensembl. Lineage: Eukaryota; Metazoa; Chordata; Actinopteri; Cichliformes; Cichlidae.
GGAGUCUGAAAGCGAUUCUCCUCCCUGGCCUUCGCUGCACAUCAACAUCGACAACAAGGGAGAGGAGAAGCAGCUGUCUGAAAAGUCUCUGCACCCUCCUGCUUCCCCAGCGAUGCUCCCCGACCACCUCAAAUGUAACAUCCUCAAGGCCCAGAUGGAGGCAGCCUUCAGAAAAGAAGCCCCAACAACACCCAGAGGGAAGAGCUCAACUGAGACCCUGAAUGAGAGGUAUCAGAGCUCCUCCCAAGACUCAGCGGCAUCCAGUCUGACAGCAGAAAAGACGCCCCACAGGCAAGAUCGCAACCUGACGCCAGAGAGGCUCCAGCCCAAAGCCAACCCGAGCACCAACCGCAGGAAACGGCUGGUCCGGCAGUUCAGCUUUAACCAUGAAGAUGAAGAUAAUCUCCCUGAAGCACUCGCAGCCAUCUCCUCCCAGAGUACAGCAAAGUCGGGCUCUAGCAGCUCAUUGGACAAACAGAUACAGCCGUCUAUCUACCCACAGGGGGAUAAUAUGCCAGCACUGGAGCUGGGUAGUCCAUGCUGUCCCUCUCCUUCGCCCUCCCCUCAUCUCUCCCCUUCUUACUACCGUAGCUCCAUUCCUCACCUGGUUCCUUACCUUGCUGCCCAUAAUGACAGCGGAGAAGAAAUUAGGGUGGACAGAGAGAAGAUCCUGAGAGCGCUCCUGAUGACAGAGCUCUGAGACCUCGACCCUUCAGACGGAAGCUAAGAAGUCCCAAAGUCACUGGUGUCAGUCAGCAUUUGUAUACUUGCAUUGCACAUUUAGCAGUUAUAAAUCUAUAUUUGCAUAAAGGCGGUUGUUAUAUUUGCUUAGUUGUUAUAUUAGAAAGAAGGCUCUUUGUAAUAACUGAACUGAACCUGUACAAAAAAGCGAAAUGGAAACAAGUGGAUUCACUCACAUGCAUUACAGACGAGCUACAGACUGUAUUCCUGGUGCUGCCUGCAUGAUUAAUAUGUUUCCCUAAACGAUUAUCAGAUUUUGCUUUGGACUUCUGUUUAUGUGUGAGUUCAUCCUCAUCGUCUUCAUCGCCGUGUCCGUGCUGAUGCCUAAACUGUGUUUCAGACAGCGACUGUUGAAGCUUUGAUCUCCAUGUAAAAAGCUCUCCUGAAAUGAAAGUCACUUCACUUUCAAAUC